This 332-nucleotide long non-coding RNA is filed under the name Calidris pygmaea (Spoon-billed sandpiper). RNAcentral's name for it is "lncRNA (ENSCPGG00000006695.1)". Lineage: Eukaryota; Metazoa; Chordata; Aves; Charadriiformes; Scolopacidae. The record is from RNAcentral.
AAAAGGAGGAGAAGAUCCUGACAUUUCUUCAGUGAUCUUGAAUGGAGAAGGAUGACCCAUUAUGGUGCUGAAAGUGGUCUGAACUGAUGGAUGACCCAGGCUGGGGUGCAGAGAUUAGCCCUUUACUAGGCUAUAGUUCUUUGAUAUUUCCUUCUCUUGUAAAAGUACAGAGUUCCUGCAUCAUCGCAUGUCAUCGUCUCAGCCAACGUGGGCAGAAUAUGUCACUUCCAGGAAGAUGAGCCACUCACAGCAGUGGUAAGGCUGCCCAGACAAUAUGUAGUAUCACUUAUUUGAGAUGAACGUGCAUGUGCUUUUUUUUUUUUUUCUCUGAG